This 488-nucleotide ribosomal RNA is filed under the name Helotiales sp. GMU_LL_02_B4. Its description in RNAcentral is "eukaryotic LSU rRNA". The stretch from base 140 to 293 matches the Rfam family "5.8S ribosomal RNA". Lineage: Eukaryota; Fungi; Ascomycota; Leotiomycetes; Helotiales. The record is from RNAcentral.
UAGAUCUCCCACCCUUGAAUAUUUUAUACCUUUGUUGCUUUGGCGGGCCGCUUCGGCUACCGGCUUUGGCUGGUGAGUGCCCGCCAGAGGACCCCAAAUUCUGAAUUAUAGUGUCGUCUGAGUACUAUAAAAUAGUUAAAACUUUCAACAACGGAUCUCUUGGUUCUGGCAUCGAUGAAGAACGCAGCGAAAUGCGAUAAGUAAUGUGAAUUGCAGAAUUCAGUGAAUCAUCGAAUCUUUGAACGCACAUUGCGCCCCUUGGUAUUCCGAGGGGCAUGCCUGUUCGAGCGUCAUUAUAACCCCUCAAGCUCAGCUUGGUGUUGGGGCCUGCCGCACGGGCAGCCCUUAAAAUCAGUGGCGGUGCCAUCUGGCUCUAAGCGUAGUAAUUCUUCUCGCUAUAGAGUCACGGUGGAUGCUUGCCAUUAACCCCCAAUUUUCAAUGGUUGACCUCGGAUCAGGUAGGGAUACCCGCUGAACUUAAGCAUAUC